RNAcentral lists this ribosomal RNA (252 nucleotides) under uncultured bacterium. RNAcentral's name for it is "partial 16S ribosomal RNA". It matches the Rfam family "Bacterial small subunit ribosomal RNA", at positions 524 to 776 of the family's 1533-position model. The record is from RNAcentral.
UACAGAGGUCUCAAGCGUUGUUCGGAUUCAUUGGGCGUAAAGGGUGCGUAGGUGGCGGGGUAAGUCAGGUGUGAAAUCUCGGGGCUCAACCCCGAAACUGCAUUUGAUACUGCCUUGCUCGAGUACUGGAGAGGAGAUUGGAAUUUACGGUGUAGCAGUGAAAUGCGUAGAUAUCGUAAGGAAGACCAGUGGCGAAGGCGAAUCUCUGGACAGUUACUGACACUGAGGCACGAAGGCCAGGGAGCAAACGGG